Balaenoptera acutorostrata (minke whale) is the source of this 979-nucleotide long non-coding RNA. RefSeq lists it as uncharacterized. NCBI's taxonomy places the organism in Eukaryota, Metazoa, Chordata, Mammalia, Artiodactyla, Balaenopteridae. The record is from RefSeq and is a predicted model, not a curated record. The transcript is spliced from 3 exons.
GAGCAACGUUGCUGUCAAUAGAAAUUGGCCUUGCCGUAUCACAGAGCUCUGAAGAAGGAGCUGCUUGUUUCUGCUACUGAAAAUGACUUGGUCUGUCAGCGAAGGAGUAGGAGAGCUGAGCAUUCUGCCGCGCUAGGGCCUCCUGGAGGUCAUGCCAUCCCUCUCUGCGCCCCCGGCCCCGGUGAUCACACCCACACCACCACACACACCCAGCUUGAGCCCAGAGACAGGAGCCUCUCCCAAAGGACAGAGAGGCCACCGCCCAAGGCGGAAUACAGUAUGGGAUGUAUAUCUGUGAUUAGCUUCUUUAAACAAACACGGAAGAACAAACAAGGGCUGUCCUUCGGAACAGUCACCUUAGGAGGAAAUACGCUUAUCCCAUCUGUACCUCUCUUGAUUAAACCAUUUCUGCAAAGACUCCUUUAAAGUGGACUUUCUAGCCAUUUUACAAAAUACUCAAGACAACCAAGAUUAGCUACGAAUCGUUUUUUGACUGAUUCCAGAGAAGCAAAUGAUAAAGAUCUGUCACCAAUAAGGACAUUUAAAGACUGAGUCACAUACCCUGAAGACAAUUCCCAAAGAAGAGUUACAGAACUUGUGUCAUUGUGGCCUUGUUGGAAGAAGGGGGUCGCCCCAACGUGACUACUUGGAGGCGGCGGUGUUUUCAGUUGCAUUUCUCUCUGGCCACAUCUGGAGUGUAUUAUUUAUCAUUCCUGAUGAUCAUUCUUUUGUUCAUCUGGUUGUCAUUUUUCAUCCUAAACAGUGAACUAAGAAGGAGAAAAAGGGAAGGAAACAAAUUCCUGACCCCCAUCUGGGUCAGGAUCUCAUUUCAGAUUUCAGCAAAUUCCCAUGCACAAGUGUCACCAGGGUGGCUAGGCCUUUCUGCUUCCAAGAACCCCGAACCUAGAGACCGGAAUGUCAGCACUGAUUCUGGUUCACCUCAUGGUAACUGCAGACCUACUAAGUGCCACUGGGUCUU